This 3646-nucleotide long non-coding RNA is filed under the name Homo sapiens (human). Its description in RNAcentral is "HSALNT0135802". Lineage: Eukaryota; Metazoa; Chordata; Mammalia; Primates; Hominidae. The record is from RNAcentral.
GGCGUGGUUGUGGGUGCCUGUAAUCCCAGCUACUUGGGAGGCUGAGACAGGAGAACCACUUGAAGCUGGGAGGCGGAGGUUUCCGUGAGCCCAGAUUGUACCACUGCACUCUUGCCUGGGCGACGGAGUGAGACCCUGUCUCAAAAUAAAAUAAAAUAAAAUAAAAUAAAAUAAAUAAAAUAUCCCUUGAAUCCUAGAAGCGGAGGUUGCAGUGAGCCAAGAUAGCGCCAUUGCACUCCAGUCUGGGCCUCACAGGGAGACUUUAUCUCAAUAACAACAACCAAAAAAAGUGUAACAUUUGUGAUAACGUCUGGGACUAAAGCAGGUACAGAGUGCAGAGCAGUAGUAGGACUCACACCCAUGACAAUAGAGACUAAAAAGCAAAAACGGAAAUGCUAUCCAUUUACAUGUAAAACGGCAAUGAUAGGAAUAAGAGGGGGUAUAAGAUACAAGUGCUGGAUAGAGGCUGAAGCAAAAUUAAAACUGAGAAAUUAUCAGUAAUUUGGCAAAUGGAAUUCACUUUAAAAUUGAUCUAUUAGCAAAAUAGCCUUUUGCAAACUGACCUGCUUCUCUUUUGAUAAUACCAUACUCUCUUCUCGUGAGACCAAGUUAGAUUGUUCUGAGCUUUACCAAGAAUACAUAACAAAUUAAUUGGGCAAUAAACUUUUAAAUAGCCAUGCACAUGAUCCUAUCUCUCAUUUUCCCUACCAGUUUCCCGUGUGUCUUGAGUAAGAGCCCAGGACUGCUUGAGUUUAAAUGUUCUGUCUGUUUAGGGGAGAAGAGAAAGAGAAGACAGGAGAGAGGAACUCCUUGCUUUUCCUACCUUCUGAAUGAAAUCAACUUACCAAUAGUUAGGUCUGCUAUCUUGCUUCAAACGACCCCCUUCUGACACCAGGAACCUCUUUAAAAGAAUACUGUGAUCUUUCAGUUAUAAAAUCAUAGAGGAACUAGUAAAAACGAAUGGAGGGUAUGCUAGUGAUCUGGGGCAACAUCACCCUUACAUUCUGUAGGCUAAAUUCCAACAUACUCGGAAUAAUAAUAUAAAGUCCUGAAUAAUAUCAUUGUAUUCUACCCAGCAAUAUGUUGGACGGAAGAAGGAAAGGGAAGGAGAGAGCCAGAGAGAAAAGGAAGAAGAGAGGGGAGGAUUUUGCGUUGAACUCUUGAUAUGGCCAACAUAGAGCCUACCAUUGUGGAGAUUACAAGAUACAAUUUUCCCACCUUUUCUCUCGCCGGCCUUUCCUAGUGAUACAGCUCCAGUGAGUGGAGGAACACCAGGGCUCUUGUUUCAUGUCGAAUUGUAUAAAACGACAUGGACACACGUGGAGUGGUUUUAAGGAGUGGAGAGUUUAAUAGGCAAGAAAGAAGGGAGAAGAAAGAAGGAAGAAGCUCCCCUGUACAGAGCCAGAGCGGGGCGGAGUCUCCAAAGCUGAGAGAGGGAACCCCCAGGGCGGCCGAUGCCAGCCAGUUAUAUGAAGAGGCUGGAGGAGGUGAUGUCUGAUUUGCAUAGGGCUCAGGGGAUUCGUUUGACCAGGCAUGUCAUUCAUGUAGCCCUCGAAAAAAACUGGCCCUCCCACCCUAGCCUUUUAAUAUGAAAAUGCAGGGUGCCAGGAUAUUCUAUACAUGUGGGGAGAUGUGGGGGUGGCCAUGUUGCCAGGCACAUGAGGGAGCAAAUGCAAGAAGAAGAGGGCGGAAUCGCCAUGUUUGGGUGGACCAGUUUCUAAUGGUCUGCAUUUGCAUGUCGAAGGUUGCCUGCCCACCUCUAAGAGCUGGGGCUUUCCUGAUAGACGAGAAACAUUUCUGGAGCUGCUUUAAAAGAAACAACUUUCCAAGGACCACUUUUCCUCUCUAUCUGCCUAAAAUUAUUUCUUAAUGUGUCCUAUAACACUAGAAACAAUCUCACCACUGCUCUCUGAACAAGCUGUACUUAGCCAGACCUUCUAACUGUUGAUUACCGUUCCUCCUACGUGUGUCUGACUCUCCAAGUUCCAACUACUUGUCAGGAUCGUUUGGUGUCUUUUUUUUCUGCCUUUCCAAACCACUCUAUUCUCUUUUCAUCUCUCCCUUCCAUGGAUGCACAGUCAGUUUAGGAAAGAAACUCAUCUGAACAUUGACCUCUUAGUUUGCAUAAAUAACUUUGAGUAACAAAUGAACAGGAUAUUAGGCCCCUCACAUACAAUGUCUUGCAUUUCUUUUUUUUUUCCCCUUCAACGUUUCUAGCAGCGCUGGAUCUAUUGCAAGUGCUCUGUAAAUGACUGAUUGAGGAACAUAUGGAUUAAUGAAUAAAUGAACCAGGGAAUGAAUGCACUGACAUGACAGUUUCAGACAUAGAUGGGGGAGCAUGAGGAAGAGCCAAGCAACAGAGCAAAGCAUCAGGUCCAAGCAAUUUCAGUGGGUUAGCCCUCACUCUUUCCCACAGAGCUCUCAGCUUCCUUUCAAGAUUGAAACUCCAUUGUUUUGAAAUAGUUAAGGCAAAGAAAGUGAGAGAGGACUUUUAAAAAAUGGAUGCUUUCAGAAACAUGGAUUCUUACACUAGCAGCCAUUUAUGGACAAUAAAAAGUCAGGAAGCAAACCUAAUAUAAGCUUUCUUUCCCAGAGCCCAAGGGAAACAUAGCCAUGGGACAUCUUUCUUCAAUGAAGUCUACAUUUACAGCAACCAAGCGCACACAACUCCAUUUCCUGUUUAUGUAAGACUUCUUGCUACUGGAUGCAGGGAAAAUAUAUCCCUCUUAUUGGCUUUCCCAUAAAGGUAUCUCCCACUCACCAAUGCCCUAUUCUUUUCAGGUAAGAUUCAUUCACGUGACAACUGAUUACCAAAAGACUGUAUUGGGGCAAACCUCAUGUUUUUUGUGUCUUGUCAUUCUAUAGGGAGGGAAAUGUCUCUUGCCUAAUACUUCACUUUGUUCCAUGCCCACUGUGUUCCAUAGUUUGGGAAAGCAUACUUUAAAUCCAGCGUGGGAUCUGUUUGAGUGAUCCCUGGAUUUGUAUUGGUUUUGUUUUCUGAAGCAGGUUUGUCUUAGUGGGUGCCCUUUAGAGAUCACUUUUGUUAUAAAAUGAACCAAGAUUAAUAGCCAGCUCCAUGUCAUGUGUUUGCAUGUCUUCAGCUGACGAAUUUCAAAUGACCUUCUUGUUCUGCCAAUACAUUGUGGAGAUACCAUCACUGAAAGCCGGCCCUUGCUACUGCUGACUCUGUCAUAUGGGGAAGGGGACAGUGUGUAAUUCUGCCUGUGGUAAUCUGCUUGUGGCAGUGAUUUUAUAGCCUGCAAACUUUUGCUUAUUGUACCCAGAUGUUGUAUGAUACUUUGCCAAAAAUACAUCUUUUAAAGAAUCUGUCUUAACUCUUUGUUUUGAGAUAAUUUUAUGCUUACAAUAUUUGUCUCAUCAUGUUCUCUCUCUGUCUCUGUAUGUAAACAUUUUUGAACCAUUUGAGAGUAAGUUGCAAAGAAAAUACGCCAUUACCUUAGUGUACAAUUCCUAAAAAUAAGGGUAUUUUCUUACAAAACCAGAGUACAAUUUUCAAAAUCAGAACAUUUAUGUAAGUGCAGUUCUAUUAUCUAAUACAUAGACUUUAGUCAAGUUUUGUAAUUUUUUACUGGCCCAGGAUCAAUCUGGUAUUCAUGUUGCCCUUGGUUUUCUUGUCUCAUUAUUC